GAGUCAGCAUGAGUCAUCUCGUUCCAAUGAGAAUGAAGGCUGAGGUGUGCGCCUUUUUUUUUUUUCCUUCUUAGUCGUGUGUACAUCAUUGGGAAUGGAGGGAAAUAAAUGACUGGAUGGUCGCUGCUUUUUAAGUUUCAAAUUGACAUUCCAGACAAGCGGUGCCUGAGCCCGUGCCUGUCUUCAGAUCUUCACAGCACAGUUCCUGGGAAGGUGGAGCCACCAGCCUCUCCCUGACAAGCAAAGUGGAUCAGCAAAGGCUGCAGUCACCAGCAUCUUUUCCAACCUUAAUGAACUGUAUCCUCAAAAGAACACUAUCAGACUGGUAAGACAAGCAUUAUUGUCCCACUUCACAGAUGAAGAGCUUGGGGGCCCUGUGGAUGUGUAGGAGAGUCGGCCUUCCUUUUUAUAGGCCUUUUGCUGAGCUCAGAGGACAGAGCAGAAGACAAAGCCGAAUGCAGCCCUAAGCAGACACUAUCCCAGCCCAAGGAGCUAUGCAGACAGCUCCUGCCUAGAGGAGAAACAAUUCUCUCCUUCAGCCAGGCAUGUGGCACAGAGGUGAACAGGAAAUGCUUAGGGAGACAGUUCACAGAUAUAUAUGUACUUCACAGGGCACAAUUUAAUCCAUAAAUCAAUCAUGGAUCACCGCUAAAGAAAACAAAAUAUGCUGCCACUAAUUUGCCACCACCCUGUGAGCAUGAUUGGAUGAUGUUUAUUUUGAUUAGGAGAUUGCUCCAUUUAUAAAUCUUCAAUACAUCCUGUCCCCCUAAAACGGCAUCUGGGUCUUUUGAGGGUUAAAAAAAAAAAAAAGUGAAAUUGGAUGAGGGAUGAGAGCUGGACUUCUGUGUGUCCCGGGGUCCCUGGAUCCACAGCCUGGUGCCUAGCAUCAGUUAAGCCCACGCUGGGGUCGCAUCACAUCCCGCAAAGCCACGUGCUCUGUGAGGCCAACAGGAGCCCCGCCGGGUGGACCAGCUGGAAUCUCAGAGAGCGCCGACUCUGAAACUACCCGGCUCUGCAGAAGCACGCUGGGCCCAGGGGCUUCUAGACUGACAGCUCCAUUUAUCAACUACCUAUUGGUUUUAAAAAUUGGAGUGUCUUUUCCGCGUUGACUGAUUUUGGCUCUAAGAGAUGUCGCUGGUCAUUUCAGAGUGACUGAACCUCCCCUCUAACAGAUCCCGGGAAUUGUUUUCAGGAAAGGUAAAAGGCAGCCUUUUCUGUCACAACACAACGCUGAGCCGGCAGCCUGGCUCUGUCAGGAUCUGGGGCUCCCGCGCCCGAGAAGCCCAGCCUCGCCGGCGGCCAAGUUCACCGCGAGGCCCCGCGCUGCCUGCGCUGCGCUCCCGGACCCGCACCGACCGCAGCGCGCGCCGCCGGUGCUUCUCCCACCCCAGCCUGGAAGCUGCCUCCCUCCGCCUAUGCCUGCAGGAUAAGAAGCCCGAGGAGGCGGAGCAUGGAACUCGACAGUUAAAACAUUUAAGAGAGAAAACCUAGUGUCUUGCUGGCCUGAAAUCGAGUACGCAGCCCGGGGUGAUCAGGGUCUCCCGGCCCGGAUGUGUGAGACUUGCUUCCCCUGGGCAAUAGGCGAUACGAUGCUUUAGGAGGAAGGUGUCUCUCCCUCCUAAGCCCCGGAGGGGAGAACUUCCAAAGACAGAAAACCACAGGCUUCCUGGCACAGAGCUUUCCCUUUAUCAGCUAAAGCAGAAUCUUUUCUGGCCUUAACCUGGCCCCUUCCUCUAACUGCAGGCAGAGAGGCAGACAGAAAAGCACUUGCUGAAACACAAAGUUUUGUUCUGUCCUCAACGAACUGUCUAGAGCUGAUUGCUGAUAGUCGUGGUGCAUUAUGCCUUCCUGGUUUUCAUUUAAUUGGGCACCACGCUGCCUUUCAAGACGCCUUAAAGGAACCAACAACCAAAUCCAAGAGAGCUGGACAGACCAUUGAACACACAGUAGGCUGUGUCUCGUGGCUUUCGUUGUCUGGUGCCUCAAAGAAAACACCAGAAAGAUUGUUUCUAAGCUAGAGCCACCCCAGAUUGCUUAAAGUGCAAAGCUCACUGCUGUUGGGGGUACCCUUGUGAGACACUGGAAAGCUGGUUUUACCGUGGCCCUAUGAAGAGGAAGACUGAAAUUUAGACAGUAAUACCUUUACUAGGAUUGGAAAAGAUUUGGUUAAUGACAGCCCUGUCAUUUCUAAAACCCAUUAUCACUGUAUGAGAGAUUCCUUUGCGCUGCAUCCUCGACAGUGCUUCCUAAGGCUCUGCCGACUUCCAGUUCUGGAACAAGAUGGUUAAACUCAUUUUUCCCUGCUCUGCUCCUCUAAAUACAACUAAGUACCUUGGAAACUAUUCAGCAGACAAUGAUAAAGGGCUCUGAAAGCUAGAAGAAAAGGUGUACUUGCAAGAAACCUCAGGACUUGAGUAACAGCAACAUGGCAGGCCAGAAAGCAGACCCAGGGAGGAUAGCACAUGUCUUCGGCUACACUGGUGAAGGCAUCGUGCCUGCUCCACAGCACAUUUUUAUUCAAGAACAAUCCAUUUCACAGAUGAAGAAACAGACUCAGUGAGCACGUGAUCACUUCUCACAACUAAUGGAGCCAAGAUUCUGUCCUUAUGGCUCCAGAGACCUCUUUUUUUUCCCACUGUACCACAACACUCACCAGGACUGGAGUGCCACCUAUGACCUCAUUGCAUAAUGGAUGGCUUGUCCUCAAAUGGGCCCGGGAAAGGAGAAAGAGACUACCUACUGCAUUUCUGUCACUCGCUGAAAAGGACACUCUGUCAGAAAAUCUUCUAGCAAACUUCAAAGGGCAAAAUCACCCCUUGUUACUGAUAAAGCCCAGAGAGCUUCAGCAGCUAACAUUCCCUGGACAGGGCACAGCAAGGAUUUGAACCUAGGUCAGUCUGGCCAGAACACCCACAAGCUUUCCUUAACUCAGUGUGCUAUCUCCCCACGACUAGGUCACUACUGCUUUAUAAUCACCUUUGUAGCCACCAGUGGAUUUUGCUCAUCAGUAUUUUUCAGGCAAUUGAUACUUUAGAUAUUCAGCUGCAAGACGUAUGCAGUUUUCAUUGACAUCUUUUGGAGAAACUGACAAACCUGGACUUGACUUAAUGCCUUUGGAACCUUCCAAGAUGUUAUAUAACUCUAGAUAGAAGGCUGGGCCUCCAUGAUGUCAGGAAUGUUGCAUUCUUAUUUCCCCAUAGAUAAACCCAUUUGUCCACAAAGUCAAGGAGUCAGGCAGAGGCCCUUGCCAUGGGGCUUUUUAGGAUAAAGCAACAAGCCUGGACUUUGCUCUACAACAGGGUUUUGCAUAGGGAGUGGUAUGACCAGAUCCCUCAAGAAAGAAAGCUUAGAGACCAGGCCAGAGUCCACUGCAGUAGCCCAGUCAAGAGAGGAUGGUGACUUGGACUUGUAGUAGAGCCAGUUAGAAUGAAAGAAAUUGACACAUUCAGAAAUGGUUUUAGAGAUAGAGUCAAACUGGACCUGAUAAAGAACUAGAGAAGCGGAGUGAGGAUAAAGAGAAGAGCCAUGACUGACUCGGAAGAUUUUGUCUUGAAAAACUUGAGAA
Molecule: long non-coding RNA, 3565 nt
Organism: Homo sapiens (human)
Lineage: Eukaryota; Metazoa; Chordata; Mammalia; Primates; Hominidae
Product: MIR4435-2 host gene
Source: Ensembl